UGACGCGACGCGGGAGAAACCUCGCUAUCGAGGCGCCGUAGGAGCAAUCUCCUCCCCGAGAAUCUCUCAGGCCCCAGUACCGCAUCGCCGAG
Molecule: regulatory RNA element, 92 nt
Organism: Mycobacterium marinum M
Lineage: Bacteria; Bacillati; Actinomycetota; Actinomycetes; Mycobacteriales; Mycobacteriaceae
Rfam family: Glycine riboswitch aptamer
About the family: This family represents the bacterial glycine riboswitch. Glycine riboswitches usually consist of two metabolite-binding aptamers domains with similar structures in tandem.
Source: Rfam